RNAcentral lists this ribosomal RNA (374 nucleotides) under uncultured organism. Its description in RNAcentral is "partial 16S ribosomal RNA". It matches the Rfam family "Bacterial small subunit ribosomal RNA", at positions 527 to 896 of the family's 1533-position model. The record is from RNAcentral.
GUAGGUGGCAAGCGUUGUCCGGAAUUAUUGGGCGUAAAGCGCGCGCAGGCGGUCCUUUAAGUCUGAUGUGAAAGCCCACGGCUCGACCGUGGAGGGUCAUUGGAAACUGGGGGACUUGAGUACAGAAGAGGAAAGCGGAAUUCCAAGUGUAGCGGUGAAAUGCGUAGAGAUUUGGAGGAACACCAGUGGCGAAGGCGGCUUUCUGGUCUGUAACUGACGCUGAGGCGCGAAAGCGUGGGGAGCAAACAGGAUUAGAUACCCUGGUAGUCCACGCCGUAAACGAUGAGUGCUAAGUGUUAGGGGGUUUCCCGCCCCCCUUAGUGCUGCAGCUAACGCAUUAAGCACUCCGCCUGGGGAGUACGGCCGCAAGGCUG